RNAcentral lists this transfer RNA (73 nucleotides) under Wolbachia endosymbiont of Litomosoides brasiliensis. Its description in RNAcentral is "tRNA-Gly". It matches the Rfam family "tRNA". Rfam says of the family: Transfer RNA (tRNA) molecules are approximately 80 nucleotides in length. Their secondary structure includes four short double-helical elements and three loops (D, anti-codon, and T loops). Further hydrogen bonds mediate the characteristic L-shaped molecular structure. tRNAs have two regions of fundamental functional importance: the anti-codon, which is responsible for specific mRNA codon recognition, and the 3' end, to which the tRNAs corresponding amino acid is attached (by aminoacyl-tRNA synthetases). tRNAs cope with the degeneracy of the genetic code in two manners: having more than one tRNA (with a specific anti-codon) for a particular amino acid; and 'wobble' base-pairing, i.e. permitting non-standard base-pairing at the 3rd anti-codon position. The record is from RNAcentral. Lineage: Bacteria; Pseudomonadati; Pseudomonadota; Alphaproteobacteria; Rickettsiales; Anaplasmataceae.
GCGGGAGUAGUUCAGUUGGUAGAACAUAACCUUGCCAAGGUUGAGGUCGAGGGUUCGAAUCCCUUCUUCCGCU